RNA transcript from Ctenopharyngodon idella (grass carp), 1331 nucleotides. It is a transcript of the gene named vitelline membrane outer layer protein 1-like, with no coding region annotated. Lineage: Eukaryota; Metazoa; Chordata; Actinopteri; Cypriniformes; Xenocyprididae. The record is from RefSeq and is a predicted model, not a curated record. The transcript is spliced from 6 exons.
GAGAAUGUUAUGGUACUACGCCGUCUCUGUGUCUGCUUGAUCAACUGAUGAUUGAUAGCUUUGAGUCUACCUGAAAAUUAAUCUAACAAUCAGUAUUUUUUUAUCGAUCAGGUCACUGCUGUAGCAAUGCGUCACUUCUUUUCCAUGUUUUUACUGCUAGCCAUUUUUGGGCUGCAUGUGAGCGUUCAGUCCACAGGAAGACGUUCUGAGCGGAGCACACACAGAAAAUACAAAUCAGUGUUGACCGUGUCUAACGGAAUGUACUGGGGGUCGUGGGGGGAUCAGGACAUGUGUCCAAGUGGAAUGUAUGCCGCAGGGUUCAGUUUGAGGGUGGAAAAACAUUCCCCUGGUUGGUUUGACGAUACAUCGCUCAAUGGGAUUCGUCUUCACUGUGUAUAUCCGUCCAGAGUAUCAUCAAGCUCAUAUGUUGUGUCCAACGCAGGACACUGGGGUGAGUGGACAGAUAUCAAGUGGUGUCCUUCUGGAUUCUUAAAAGCUUUCCAGCUGAGAGUCCAAUCUGCCCAAGGAAUUAAAGAUGAUACUGCUGCAAACAACAUCAGGUUCAACUGCAGUGAUGGUGCUGUGCUUCAGGGUAACAGCACAGCCUGGGGUGAUUGGGGCGACUGGAGCUCAGCGUGUGAUGGAAGAGGAAUCUGCGGUAUCAAGACACGAGUAGAAGAGCCACAGGGAACUGGAGAUGACACCGCUCUCAAUGACGCGCAAAUGUACUGCUGUGAUUAAGUUGUAGGAGGAUGACAACAAGAACAGCAAGAAGACCAAAUGGAUUGUCAUAAUUGAUCAUCAUUCUAUAAUCAGCUAACAUGAACCAUGUCAUACAACAGUUUUGUAAGGGAUAAUUUACAGUCAGCCGGUCAUUAUCACAAAACAAAGCCUAAAUGAAUCUAAGGUUGACUGGAUAGAGAAAAGUCAGGCUGAAUGGCUGUUUCUUAACAGUGCGACACCUCGUGGUACCUUCACAGAGAGGCUCAAAAUCACUUUCCUGACAUUUUUUGCAUUCACUGUUCCUUGCUGGUGGAAUGAUCUUCCCAACCCCAUCUGGAACUCUGAAUCCCUGAAAAUAUUCAAGAAACAGCUGAAAACUUCAUUAAGCACUUAACUGUAUCCUACUGAAUAAAAAAUUAUUCUAUAUUCUUCACUUUUCCUUUAUCUCUCCCUGUUCUAACUUGUACUAUUCUUGAACAAUGACUGAAACUUUGUAUUACUGGAACUUCUCAUGUUUAUUCGCCUCUUCAAGAUGAAUCGCACAUUUGUAAGUCGCUUUGGAUAAAAGCAUCUGCUAAAUGAAUAAAUGUAAUCUGCUUUCAAAUUGA